RNAcentral lists this ribosomal RNA (570 nucleotides) under Lactiplantibacillus plantarum. RNAcentral describes it as "bacterial SSU rRNA". It matches the Rfam family "Bacterial small subunit ribosomal RNA", at positions 63 to 602 of the family's 1533-position model. Lineage: Bacteria; Bacillati; Bacillota; Bacilli; Lactobacillales; Lactobacillaceae. The record is from RNAcentral.
CGAACUCUGGUAUUGAUUGGUGCUUGCAUCAUGAUUUACAUUUGAGUGAGUGGCGAACUGGUGAGUAACACGUGGGAAACCUGCCCAGAAGCGGGGGAUAACACCUGGAAACAGAUGCUAAUACCGCAUAACAACUUGGACCGCAUGGUCCGAGCUUGAAAGAUGGCUUCGGCUAUCACUUUUGGAUGGUCCCGCGGCGUAUUAGCUAGAUGGUGAGGUAACGGCUCACCAUGGCAAUGAUACGUAGCCGACCUGAGAGGGUAAUCGGCCACAUUGGGACUGAGACACGGCCCAAACUCCUACGGGAGGCAGCAGUAGGGAAUCUUCCACAAUGGACGAAAGUCUGAUGGAGCAACGCCGCGUGAGUGAAGAAGGGUUUCGGCUCGUAAAACUCUGUUGUUAAAGAAGAACAUAUCUGAGAGUAACUGUUCAGGUAUUGACGGUAUUUAACCAGAAAGCCACGGCUAACUACGUGCCAGCAGCCGCGGUAAUACGUAGGUGGCAAGCGUUGUCCGGAUUUAUUGGGCGUAAAGCGAGCGCAGGCGGUUUUUUAAGUCUGAUGUGAAAGCC